UCAGACACGUCAGAGUUGAUCCUGGCUCAGGACGAACGCUGGCGGCGUGCAUAACACAUGCAAGUCGAACGAUGAAGAAGAGAAUGGAGACUUCGGUCAAAGUUCGCUUCGGAUUAGUGGCAGACGGGUGAGUAACGCGUGAGCAACCUACCUCAUAGCGGGGGAUAACAGAGAGAAAUCACUGCUAAUACCGCAUAAGCACACGAGGUCGCAUGGCCUAGGGUGAAAAGAUUUAUCACUAUGAGAUGGACUCGCGUCUGAUUAGCUGGUUGGCGGGGUAAAGGCCCACCAAGGCGACGAUCAGUAGCCGAUCUGAGAGGAUGGACGGCCACAUUGGGACUGAGACACGGUCCAA
RNAcentral lists this ribosomal RNA (355 nucleotides) under uncultured bacterium. RNAcentral's name for it is "bacterial SSU rRNA". It matches the Rfam family "Bacterial small subunit ribosomal RNA", at positions 1 to 334 of the family's 1533-position model. The record is from RNAcentral.